CGGGGUGAGUAACACAUGGGUGACCUGCCUUCCAGUGAGGAAUACCGGCGAGAAAUCGCCGACAAUACCGCAUAGGCUCGUGGGGUCACACCCGCGAGCAAAGCUCCGCAAGGGGCGCUGGAAGAGGGGCCCGUGGCCGAUUAGUUAGUUGGUGGGGUAAAAGCCUACCAAGGCCACGAUCGGUAGCUGGUCUGAGAGGACGAUCAGCCACACUGGGAUUGAGAACGGCCCAG
Molecule: ribosomal RNA, 233 nt
Filed under: uncultured bacterium
Lineage: Bacteria
Description: partial 16S ribosomal RNA
Rfam family: Bacterial small subunit ribosomal RNA
Source: RNAcentral